This 449-nucleotide ribosomal RNA is filed under the name uncultured bacterium. RNAcentral's name for it is "bacterial SSU rRNA". It matches the Rfam family "Bacterial small subunit ribosomal RNA", at positions 29 to 514 of the family's 1533-position model. The record is from RNAcentral.
AACGAACGCUGGCGGCAUGCCUAACACAUGCAAGUCGAACGGGAUCCUAGCUUGCUAGGUGAGAGUGGCGGACGGGUGAGUAACACGUGGGAAUCUGCCUUUUGGUUCGGGAUAACCGCGGGAAACUGCGGCUAAUACCGAAUGCCCUCGUGAGAGGAAAGAUUUAUCGCCAGAAGAGGAGCCCGCGUCCGAUUAGGUAGUUGGUGGGGUAAAAGGCCUACCAAGCCGACGAUCGGUAGCUGGUCUGAGAGGAUGAUCAGCCACACUGGGACUGAGAUACGGCCCAGACUCCUACGGGAGGCAGCAGUGGGGAAUAUUGGACAAUGGGGGCAACCCUGAUCCAGCAAUGCCGCGUGAGUGAUGAAGGCCUUAGGGUUGUAAAGCUCUUUUGCCAGGGAAGAUGAUGACUGUACCUGGAGAAUAAGCCCCGGCUAACUUCGUGCCAGCAG